GACGAAGGGGGCUAGCGUUGUUCGGAAUUACUGGGCGUAAAGCGCGUGUAGGCGGUUGUCCAAGUUGGAUGUGAAAGCCUUGAGCUCAACUCAAGAAAUGCAUUCAGGACUGGAUGACUAGAGGACCGGAGAGGAUAGUGGAAUUCCCAGUGUAGUGGUGAAAUACGUAGAGAUUGGGAAGAACACCAGUGGCGAAGGCGGCUAUCUGGACGGUUUCUGACGCUAAGACGCGAAAGCGUGGGGAGCAA
Molecule: ribosomal RNA, 248 nt
Filed under: uncultured bacterium
Lineage: Bacteria
Description: partial 16S ribosomal RNA
Rfam family: Bacterial small subunit ribosomal RNA
Source: RNAcentral